Molecule: RNA transcript, 2510 nt
Organism: Lynx canadensis (Canada lynx)
Lineage: Eukaryota; Metazoa; Chordata; Mammalia; Carnivora; Felidae
Gene: KLHL6
Gene name: kelch like family member 6
Exons: 8
Source: RefSeq, a predicted model, not a curated record
CCUGAAACUUGGGCGCUCCUUCAGUCUGGAUGUUGAUGGCAGGACAGGGGGGCGCCUGGACCAUGGGCGACGUGGUAGAGAAGAGUUUGGAAGGGCCGCUGGCACCUUCUACGGAUGAGGCCUCCCAGAAAAGAGGAGACCUGGUAGAAAUCUUAAAUGGGGAUAAGGUAAAAUUCGAUGACACGGGACUCUCCUUAAUUCUGCAGAAUGGCCUGGACACCCUCCGCGUGGAAAAUGCUCUGACAGAUGUCAUCUUGUGUGUGGACAUUCAGGAAUUCUCCUGCCACCGCGUGGUGCUUGCCGCGGCCAGCAACUAUUUCAGGGCCAUGUUCUGCAAUGAUUUAAAGGAAAAGUAUGAGAAGAGGAUCAUUAUCAAAGGGGUUGAUGCUGAGACCAUGCACACUCUUCUGGACUACACAUACACCAGCAAGGCACUGAUCACCAAGCAGAAUGUGCAACGGAUCCUGGAAGCUGCUAACCUUUUCCAGUUCCUGCGGAUGGUGGAUGCCUGUGCUAGCUUCCUAACAGAAGCCUUGAAUCCAGAAAACUGUGUUGGAAUACUGAGGCUGGCAGAUACACACUCCUUGGACAGCCUGAAAAAGCAGGUGCAAAAUUACAUCAUCCAAAACUUUGUGCAGAUUCUGAACUCUGAGGAGUUCCUAGAACUUCCCGUGGACACUCUGUACCACAUCUUGAAGAGUGAUGAGCUGUAUGUAACAGAGGAGGCUCAGGUGUUUGAGACUGUGAUGAGUUGGGUCCGGCACAAACAGGCAGAACGACUCUGCUUGCUCCCCUACCUCCUUGAGAAUGUGCGCUUGCCACUGCUGGACCCGUGGUACUUUGUGGAGACGGUGGAGGCAGAUCCUCUCAUCAGACAGUGCCCGGAGGUCUUCCCGCUGCUUCAGGAAGCCAGGAUGUACCACCUUUCAGGCAAUGAGAUCAUUUCCGAGCGCACCAAGCCCAGGAUGCAUGAGUUUCAGUCUGAGGUAUUCAUGAUCAUUGGUGGCUGCACAAAGGAUGAACGGUUUGUGGCGGAGGUAACCUGCCUGGACCCCCUGAGGCGCAGCCGCCUGGAGGUGGCCAAGCUCCCCAUGACGGAGCAUGAGCUGGAGAGUGAGAACAAGAAGUGGGUGGAGUUUGCAUGCGUGACAUUGAAAAAUGAGGUCUACAUCUCAGGUGGCAAAGAGACACAGCAUGAUGUUUGGAAAUAUAAUUCUUCAAUCAACAAAUGGAUUCAAAUUGAGUAUUUGAACAUAGGCCGCUGGAGGCAUAAAAUGGUGGUAUUAGGUGGCAAGGUCUAUGUGAUUGGAGGUUUUGAUGGCUUACAGAGGAUCAACAAUGUGGAGACCUAUGAUCCCUUCCAUAACUGCUGGUCAGAGGCAGCACCCCUUCUUGUCCACGUCAGUUCCUUCGCAGCUACCAGCCAUAAGAAGAAACUCUAUGUGAUUGGGGGCGGGCCCAAUGGGAAACUGGCCACAGACAAGACUCAGUGUUAUGACCCUUCAACCAAUAAAUGGAAUUUAAAGUCGUCCAUGCCGGUGGAGGCUAAAUGCAUCAAUGCUGUCAGUUUCCGGGACCGCAUCUAUGUUGUUGGAGGGGCUAUGAGAGCGCUGUACGCCUACAGCCCUCUGGAAGACAGCUGGUGCCUGGUGACCCAGCUCAGCCACGAGAGGGCCAGCUGCGGCAUCGCGCCCUGCAACAACCGGCUCUACAUCACUGGGGGGCGGGACGAGAAGAACGAGGUCAUCGCCACGGUGCUGUGCUGGGACCCCGAGGCCCAGAAACUGACGGAGGAGUGUGUCCUGCCCCGGGGGGUGUCGCACCACGGCAGUGUCACCAUCAGGAAAUCUUACACCCACAUCCGGAGGAUCGUGCCCGGAGCCGUGUCGGUGUGACUGCGGGAGGGCGGAGCCACGGGGGCGCGGGGCGAGGUGCCAGGAGACCUCCCUCCUCACCUGUUGCCCGGGUUCGUCCCACUUGAGACAGCAGGCUGGGCUGGAGCUACAGGCCACACACCUGGGUUCCCCGCGGCUCCGCAUGGGAGCUCCUUUUGGAAGUCACAGCUUUGGGACACCAGCCAGGAAUGUUUGUGCGACCUACCUCAGGAGGGAAGAAGAGUAAUAUGUAACAUUCAGGACAGACCUGUCCCCUGCCAGGUUCUGUGCCAAGCACUUUUGUGUAUCAGUUUGUUUAACCACCAUAAUGACCUGGUCACCGGACAUUAUCACUUCUGUUUUACAGGUGAGGAAACUGAGUUUCAGAGAGGCGAAGUACUUUGUCCCUGGUCACCCAGAUUAUAAGUAGCUAAGCCAAGAGGCUAACUCCAGGUCUUUUCAAUUUCAAGCUAUCCCAGCACCAAAGCAUCUCUAAGGGUCUCCUGAUUUCUGAAGUUUGGACAAAGAGCAAAAGAAGAUAUGAGACUUCCUGGCUACGUAUUCUUUGAGACGGUUUGUGGGUAAGGAAACUUCCCUUUUCCCUUAGUAAAACUAACCCGGAUCCUCCAAGUUUGU